RNAcentral lists this ribosomal RNA (422 nucleotides) under uncultured prokaryote. RNAcentral's name for it is "bacterial SSU rRNA". It matches the Rfam family "Bacterial small subunit ribosomal RNA", at positions 355 to 774 of the family's 1533-position model. The record is from RNAcentral.
UGAGGAAUAUUGGUCAAUGGGCGGAAGCCUGAACCAGCCAUGCCGCGUGCAGGAAGGAGGCCCUACGGGUUGUAAACUGCUUUUACCCGGGAAGAAACCGCCCCCUGUGGGGGGCGUUGCCGGUACCGGUGGAAAAAGGAUCGGCUAACUCCGUGCCAGCAGCCGCGGUAAUACGGAGGAUCCGGGCGUUAUCCGGCAUUACUGGGUUUAAAGGGUGCGUAGGCGGGGCUUUAAGCCGGCGGUGAAAUGCAGCGGCUCAACCGCUGGAAUGCCGGUGGGACUGGGGCUAUUGGAUACGGUCGGGGCGGGUGGAACUCGUGGUGUAGCGGUGAAAUGCAUAGAUAUCACGAGGAACGCCGGUAGCGAAGGCAGCUCGCCGGGCCGGUAUUGACGCUGAGGCGCGAAAGCGUGGGGAUCGAACA